Molecule: ribosomal RNA, 871 nt
Filed under: uncultured crenarchaeote
Lineage: Archaea; Thermoproteati; Thermoproteota
Description: bacterial SSU rRNA
Rfam family: Archaeal small subunit ribosomal RNA
Source: RNAcentral
UUCCGGUUGAUCCUGCCGGACCUGACUGCUAUCGGAUUGAUACUAAGCCAUGCGAGUCAUUGUAGCAAUACAAGGCAGACGGCUCAGUAACGCGUAGUCAACCUAACCUAUGGGACGGGAAUAACCUCGGGAAACUGAGUAUAAUGCCCGAUAGAACAUUAUGCCUGGAAUGGUUUAUGUUCCAAAUGAUUUAUCGCCGUAGGAUGGGACUGCGGCCUAUCAGUUUGUUGGUGAGGUAAUGGCCCACCAAGACUAUUACAGGUACGGGCUCUGAGAGGAGUAGCCCGGAGAUGGGUACUGAGACACGGACCCAGGCCCUAUGGGGCGCAGCAGGCGAGAAAACUUUGCAAUGUGCGAAAGCACGACAAGGUUAAUCCGAGUGGUUUCUGCUAAAGGAACCUUUUGACAGUCCUAAAAACACUGUUGAAUAAGGGGUGGGCAAGUUCUGGUGUCAGCCGCCGCGGUAAAACCAGCACCUCAAGUGGUCAGGAUGAUUAUUGGGCCUAAAGCAUCCGUAGCCGGCUCUGUAAGUUUUCGGUUAAAUCUGUACGCUUAACGUACAGGCUGCUGGGAAUACUGCAGAGCUAGGGAGUGGGAGAGGUAGACGGUACUCGGGAGGAAGUGGUAAAAUGCUUUGAUCUCUCGAUGACCACCUGUGGCGAAGGCGGUCUACCAGAACACGUCCGACGGUGAGGGAUGAAAGCUGGGGGAGCAAACCGGAUUAGAUACCCGGGUAGUCCCAGCUGUAAACUAUGCAAACUCAGUGAUGCACUGGCUUAUGGCCAGUGCAGUGUUGCAGGGAAGCCGUUAAGUUGCCGCCUGGGAAGUACGUACGCAAGUAUGAAACUUAAAGGAAUUGGCGGGGGAGCAC